GAGACACCCUAUGGGGCAGGACUUGCUUCAGUGGGGCUUUGGCGCUCACUGAGUCUGCUCCCUGAGUGUCUCU
This 73-nucleotide microRNA precursor is filed under the name Myotis lucifugus (little brown bat). RNAcentral describes it as "mir-9229 microRNA precursor family". It matches the Rfam family "mir-9229 microRNA precursor family". Lineage: Eukaryota; Metazoa; Chordata; Mammalia; Chiroptera; Vespertilionidae. The record is from Rfam by way of RNAcentral.